AUUGAACGCUAGCGGGAUGCUUUACACAUGCAAGUCGAACGGCAGCGCGGACUUCGGUCUGGCGGCGAGUGGCGAACGGGUGAGUAAUGUAUCGGAACGUGCCCAGUAGCGGGGGAUAACUACGCGAAAGCGUAGCUAAUACCGCGUACGCCCUACGGGGGAAAGCAGGGGAUCGUAAGACCUUGCACUAUUGGAGCGGCCGAUAUCGGAUUAGCUAGUUGGUGAGGUAACGGCUCACCAAGGCGACGAUCCGUAGCUGGUUUGAGAGGACGACCAGCCACACUGGGACUGAGACACGGCCCAGACUCCUACGGGAGGCAGCAGUGGGGAAUUUUGGACAAUGGGGGCAACCCUGAUCCAGCCAUCCCGCGUGUGCGAUGAAGGCCUUCGGGUUGUAAAGCACUUUUGGCAGGAAAGAAACGUCGCGGGCUAAUACCCCGUGGAACUGACGGUACCUGCAGAAUAAGCACCGGCUAACUACGUG
RNAcentral lists this ribosomal RNA (484 nucleotides) under uncultured bacterium. Its description in RNAcentral is "partial 16S ribosomal RNA". It matches the Rfam family "Bacterial small subunit ribosomal RNA", at positions 30 to 507 of the family's 1533-position model. The record is from RNAcentral.